AGUGAACGCUGGCGGUAGGCCUAACACAUGCAAGUCGAACGGCAGCACAGUAAGAGCUUGCUCUUACGGGUGGCGAGUGGCGGACGGGUGAGGAAUACAUCGGAAUCUACUUUUUCGUGGGGGAUAACGUAGGGAAACUUACGCUAAUACCGCAUACGACCUACGGGUGAAAGCAGGGGAUCUUCGGACCUUGCGCGAUUGAAUGAGCCGAUGUCGGAUUAGCUAGUUGGCGGGGUAAAGGCCCACCAAGGCGACGAUCCGUAGCUGGUCUGAGAGGAUGAUCAGCCACACUGGAACUGAGACACGGUCCAGACUCCUACGGGAGGCAGCAGUGGGGAAUAUUGGACAAUGGGCGCAAGCCUGAUCCAGCCAUACCGCGUGGGUGAAGAAGGCCUUCGGGUUGUAAAGCCCUUUUGUUGGGAAAGAAAAGCAGCAGGUUAAUACCCUGCUGUUCUGACGGUACCCAAAGAAUAAGCACCAGCUAACUUCGUG
Molecule: ribosomal RNA, 492 nt
Filed under: uncultured bacterium
Lineage: Bacteria
Description: partial 16S ribosomal RNA
Rfam family: Bacterial small subunit ribosomal RNA
Source: RNAcentral